CCUACGGGUGGCUGCAGUGGGGGAUAUUGCACAAUGGGGGAAACCCUGAUGCAGCGACGCCGCGUGUGGGAAGACGGUCCUCUGGAUUGUAAACCACUGUCCCCAGGGACGAUGAUGACGGUACUCUAAGAAUAAGCACCGGCUAACUACGUGCCAGCAGCCGCGGUAAUACGUAGGGUGCGAGCGUUAAUCGGAAUUACUGGGCGUAAAGGGUGUGCAGGCGGUUUUGCAAGAUGGAUGUGAAAGCCCCGGGCUUAACCUGGGAAAGCCAUACAUGACUGGAAGACUAGAGUGCGUCAGAGGGAGGUGGAAUUCCUAGUGUAGCAGUGAAAUGCGUAGAUAUUUGGAAGAACACCGAUGGCGAAGGCAGCCUCCUGGGACGCAACUGACGCUCAUACACGAAAGCGUGGGGAGCAAACAGGAUUAGAUACCCGAGUAGUC
This 441-nucleotide ribosomal RNA is filed under the name uncultured bacterium. RNAcentral describes it as "partial 16S ribosomal RNA". It matches the Rfam family "Bacterial small subunit ribosomal RNA", at positions 338 to 795 of the family's 1533-position model. The record is from RNAcentral.